UGGGCAAUCUGCCCUUCACUCUGGGACAAGCCCUGGAAACGGGGUCUAAUACCGGAUAACACUCUGUCCCGCAUGGGGCGGGGUUAAAAGCUCCGGCGGUGAAGGAUGAGCCCGCGGCCUAUCAGCUUGUUGGUGGGGUAAUGGCCUACCAAGGCGACGACGGGUAGCCGGCCUGAGAGGGCGACCGGCCACACUGGGACUGAGACACGGCCCAGACUCCUACGGGAGGCAG
RNAcentral lists this ribosomal RNA (232 nucleotides) under uncultured bacterium. RNAcentral's name for it is "partial 16S ribosomal RNA". It matches the Rfam family "Bacterial small subunit ribosomal RNA", at positions 118 to 351 of the family's 1533-position model. The record is from RNAcentral.